AGUAGACGUACAGCCGCCGACUACCUCGCAACUUAUCGAAACGACGGGAACACAGGAGGUGCCGUGCUACAGAUCGCCUAUGCUAUCGCAAAGUUAUCAGCAGGGUUGGACUCGCCCAUUUUAUACCUAUAGGCCGCCACAUUAUAGCUGCUACCCCCGACCUCGGUUAACGGACUACCAAACACAGAGGGGAAGACCUAUACCAAGAUUUGCACCACCACACGCUUAUAGCAGACCACAAAGGGAUCAGCGCUUUCGGAAUCCAUUUCAGCCUCCGCCUUCACAGCGUAUGUUGGGUCGGUCACGAGCUAUUCCACCACGAAAUUUCCAAAGUACAGCGAAUGAUCGGAGCCGAGAUGGCACAAACUCUUGACUAAUGCGGGAUCAAUUCAUUUUAAAACGGUGUAUCGGGUCGGACAACAAUCAAGCAAAGCUGUCGCACGCUAUUGUUUCUGUAAAGGGGAAGCGGAAACACAAUAUUAAACCUAAAUCCAAAAAUAUCGUUCAAUUUAAAGGAUUGUCGGAAACAAAAUGGGCCAAGGACACAGAUCCCAGCCUGAAAUGCGUAAUAAAUGGACGUUUAAGCUACUUAACGAUUGACAC
RNAcentral lists this long non-coding RNA (603 nucleotides) under Androctonus crassicauda. Lineage: Eukaryota; Metazoa; Arthropoda; Arachnida; Scorpiones; Buthidae. The record is from RNAcentral.